UGCUGACCCGUCGGUGUCAUCUAGACGAAUUCCCUUCCCCAUAAUGACAACAGGUGCCAAAAUUUCAUCCAAGUCGUCCUUCUCUAGUGUUCGGUUGGUUCGUUGUAGGGUUUGGCUGGGACUAAAGGUAUUUCUACCUUGUUGCCUAAUUGUCAAAGUAACCAUUAAAGUAUAGAGUGCGUGUUUUAGGUUGUGGUCUUAUCCUUUUUUUUUUCAGUGCAAAAGUGAUUUGUAACUUAUUUUUUUAGAUGUGUGAUGUUUUCUAAGUGUCUUUUUAUCUUCUUUUUAAUAUAACGAUACUUAGCUUUCCCUUCCAAAAAGGCCAUCCUACAGUGCGGUAGUUGUUAUCACUUAUGAGUGCUGUCUUUCGACCAGGCAGGAUGCCCGAAAUAGAGUUUAGCUGUGUUUUGGCUUCUAUGUCCUUACUUUGUAGGACUUCAACUUUAUUUAACACGUUCAAACGCACGGUUCAUGAAAGACCCAAUAUUCCUGAUGUAUCUAAUAUAUAAUCAACGAGCUUGCAUUCUCAUUCUUUAAUGGAUCAUAGUUUGAGGCCGAAACUACAUUAGAGCGUAUCCAAUAGUUUUUCUUAAACUCAUUCUCUAAAUUAUCAUUUGGAAACCUUAUAUCUUUUGACCCUCCAUCAUCUCCAUUUCUUUAGAUCUUGUGCGCACUUUAGAGAGUCAUCUCCGUUUUUCCUUUUUGGUUUGCAAGAAAUUUGGAACAGAGAAUAUAUAUAUUUAGAGAUUUAAUUAGAGAAGCAGUUGAAGGAUAUUUGUUCACUAAAAUAUCUGUUUCUAUCAAUUAUGAGGGAUAUAACGAGCCUCUUGCUCUGAUAAAGUUUUUUUUCCAUGUAUAGCAUCAACCAUAAACAGGAUAUAUGAUAGAACUGUAUUGCAAAGAUAUGUUCUUUUCCCUAGAAAUAAAUGUUGAUGAAGCACAUUUACCGAGUAAAGGGUGCGUCGUUUCCACCUUUUUUUAUUUCUCUUUUGACAAGUAGAAGUAGGGACCAUUUGAUUAUUCUAGAUCAUGAAAAGAGGUUCCAAUCUUGCUCUGAAAGAACACCUGGUAGAUCCCAGGUUUAUUAUAGUGUCUCCUCAAACGUAAAAUAUGUGGUUCAAGAAUGAAAUCAAUUACUCUGCUGAGAAUGCAUGACAGUAACUUCAGAUUCCUUUUUACUGACAUAGAUAACUUAAUUGGCUUCAGAUGCAUCUUUGACCAAAAGACCCAACAUGCCCUCCACCAGUUAGUAUAUCCAUCCAUGAGAAACUAGACAUGGCUAACAUUGUUUUAGAUAAAGUAGUCAGAUUAUAGUACACACAAAAUAAAACUAAAUCGACAAUAUAUUGAGUAUUAUAAGAGAAUUUUAAAUCAUUUUUAUAACAGGAAUGUUGUCAGUGUUACACUAUUAGAGGCCUUAUCGACACUAUCUAUCUAAGUUCUCUGUUUUUUGAAGAAAUCUCUGAGUUGUCUGUUAUGCAUAUUAUUUUUUAGGAAGGUGAGAUCAAGGAUGCGGGAGUGUUUUUCAAAAUGUUCGAUUAAUCACAAUUAAUCGUCUUAAUCAGGUUUAGGGGGUCCUAUUAGGGCCUUCAACCCGAUCAGUGCGACCAAGUUUCUGGUCAGAUGACUAAUCAUUAAUUAAUCAUGAUUAAUUAUUCGAUUAGGAGCCUCAACGACCAAGUUAGGAGAUCAACAAUUGGACUUGUUAGAGAGGUAAUUUGUUGGGCUGGAAACUUGGCUUUUAGGUUCAAUAGGAUUAGGCCAAAAUAAAGAGAGAGUCAGGAGCGGCGCCAGCCUCCGGUCAAAAUAGAGGGCGCCAGCCACCAAUCAAAAUAGGGGACACCACCAUUUUUGCCUCCCGCACACGAGAAGAAAGAGGCACCACCGACUCCUUUCUGUCCGCCAAUCCGCUGACCUCCUAGCCUUCUACCUCCUCCUUCCUUUUGUCCCUCCUUUCCCUUCUAUCGAGCCUCCUCUGGUUUGCCUCCGGCUCUUCAAUCCGCCCCUCCUCUAGUUCGGUAGUUGCUCCAAGCCUCCAAUUUGUGGGCCUCUUGAAGAUGAGUUCCUCCUCCUCUGGUGAUGAAUUUUGUUGCUCCCCCGCUUCCCUCACUAAACUCACAAUUGUUGGCUUGUUGCUACUCUUUGAUGUUUAUGUGGUGAAUGGGUGGUGUUUGUGUAGGGUUGGAACACCAACGGGCAAUGGUGAAAGUGUUAAAGCCAAACCAUGGCAUAGGGGAUGAUGAUGAUGAUGAUGAUGAGACUGAAGCAACGACAAAUUCCUCUGUAGCCUCAACUAGUCCAAAUGCUAAACCCUUAGAUCAGAAAGCUAGCUACCACCAAACCUUCGCGAACAAGCUGUUGAUCCCAAGAGGAAGGCUCGAUCUAAUGAUCCAAGCUAGAAGUAUGGAUGAUGAGUAGAUCCGAUGAAGAAAGACUUUUUGUAGUGUGUUUUUGUAAGAAGAUAGUCCCUUCAGGAGUAAGGAGUUUCAAGCAACACCUUGCUAGAUGGGGAGGUGAUGCAUUGGGGUGCCCAUUAUGGUUUCAAACAGUUAAGAUAGAGAUGAUUUCUUUACAUAAAAAACUCGGUCGGUAGGGGAAAGACCGCCCCACGGUAUUAUAAGGUCACGAAAGCUGCCCCCCCCGGUGCAGCAUGAGGGUCCACCCUCUAUAGGCCAGAUCUUUACUCGUGCUUUGAGCCCUCCCAGGUACACAAGGAUUCAAUCUCCAUAGGUCAGUCCAUCUCAUGUUCACACAACCAGGGUAACCAGCGAGUGACCUUUUUUAACCCUAGCCCGAAAUUUGCUCCCACAGGGAUUCGAACUCAGGACCUAAGGAGUGCUACUCAGACCACCUAACUAACUCAGCUAGAAGCCCUUUCACAUUUCUUUACUUAAAGAAAAAACCAAGGAGGUGUUUCAAACCUCGCUCCGACAAGGAAAUUUAUUGUGCUCAUUCCAGGUUCCGGAGGGUGUGCGGUGGGCGCAAGAUUUAUACUGGUUCGGGCAGAACGUCCCUACAUCUAGUCAUCGGCGGCUUGCGCUACCGACACUAUUGAUGAUCAAAGCUCGUAGUAGGGGUUACAAGCAGGCGAGAGAGGGAUGAGAGACUCCCAAGUGUCUUGUUCGUGAUGGACAUUGUUACAAAGUGGAGUCCUAGCUAAGUCUUGGCUUGGCGACGGGGCUUCGACCUCUGGCUCCUCCUGUUCGUUGGUCUUCUGGGCGACGUCUGGGGGUCCAUCGUUUUGGGUGUGUGCUCAAAGAAGCCGCCCCCUGUGUCCAGGGCCCGUCCUCCUUUUAUAGAUUGAGGGGGGGGGGUCGACCUGUGGUGGCUUCCUUGGGAAGGAGCCACCAGGCGAUGGUAAAACUGGGCGUCUUACUGUAUGGUAAAGCCACGCGUGCUCGCGGUUGUUGGGCUGUCCUGUAUUCUUUAUUACGGAGUCGGAUGGCGCGAGAAGCGUGGGCCUGGACACCAUCAUGUGGGAUAUGCUGGCCCUUGACCUUCGUAGCCUGGGGCUCGGCGUGGCUCGUCUUGUUGUGCCCUGUUAGCGACCUGUGCGCUCGGGCCUACUCCCGAUAGGUUAUGUGUGCGCCGCUGGCUUGGGGACAUACAGUCCAUAAAUGCGCCACAGUCCGAGGGGCUUGUAGGUCAUGAGUGCUCUACGACUCGAAGGGUCCGUAGGUCAUGAGUGGGAGGCAGACUAGCGCAUCCGCUGUGGCUCGGCGCCAGGCGUAGUUAAUGCGGCCGGUCAUUUAUGACGGGUCGGUCUCGAGCCAGGCGUGGGAUCCACUCGAGUGGUUUUCCUUCGAUACGCUUGCCCUCCCCCUGUCUGGUUCCGCCACGCCUGACCCUAUGCUCGGUAUCGUGGGGUUCGUCCGGGGGCGGGUUCUUUCAGGGUGGACUCUAUCUAUCUCCUCCGUCUGACCAGCGGGCCCCAGUUGUCGGAAGCCUCUUCCCCAGCAUGCUCCCUGACUGAUGGGCCCCAGGGUUAUCCCCGACAAGGAGUGUGGUGCAUGUGAAUAUAUCUGAAGAAGGUGAAGAUUGAGAAGAUGGAAAUGAAGAGGAACAAGAAACUGAGCCUCAAGUUGAAGCAUCACCAGUGCCUAGUUUGGGGACAAGGGUUAAGCAAACAAAGAGGAAAAUUGCAUAGGCUUCCAUCACCUCUUUUAUGGUGUCAGCUCCAUCAAAGCCUCAAACUCAAAAGCAUUCAAAGUCAGUGAGUGCCAUGCUUUGCAAGAAAUCUGAAGUAGUUGUAGAGAGACACAAAUCAAAGACUUCUCAAACCUACUCUUAAGCAUUGCACAAACAAAAAUCAAAGGAGACAAAGCAAAUUGGUAUUGACCAUAUUACUAGGUUUUCUAUGAGACUGGCAUGUACCAUUCGAUGUCAUCAACUCAAGAAGUUGGAAGACUGUGGUAGAGUCAAUUGGGCAAUAUGGUCUUGGGUUGCGCUCACCAUCAUACCAUGAUCUAAGGGUUCCUUUGCUUGAUUGGGCUGUGAGUAGAACAACAGAAUUGAGACAGAAGCAUGAGGAGGCUUGAAAGGAAUAUGGUUGCACCCUUAUGUCGGUGGGUGGACUGGUACAAGCCACCGCCAUAUAAUCAAUUUUCUGGCCAACAGUUCAGCAUGGACCUUCUUCCUAGAUUCUUUUGACGCUUCAAGUGAACAGCAAAUGCACAAAUGUUGGUAGAUUUGUUGGAGAAGCAAAUUAAUAAGAUUGGGAAGGAAUAUGUUGUGCAAGUUGAUAUUGAGUCAUUGACAAUGGAGUCUGUUGGGGACCUUCGGCAUCCGAAGGUCCUCAAAAACAGGAUUUAACAGUAUUUCUGGAGUAUAAUGUGUGAACAGGUAUCUUCGGACUCAGGUCGGCAUCACAGCAGACCAGAAUAAUACGAAGGUCGGUACAGCGCCGAAGGUGUAAGCAGGAAAGCUUCGGCGUGACAGCAGAAAGUGGAACCGACUUAAAGAUGAAAAGGCUAUUUAGACCUCAACAGAUUACUAUAGAAUUAUUAUCAACUGUAAAGGGCAUGAAUGUAAUUUUGUAUGGGUUGUGUCCCGCGCCUAUAAAUAGGUGAACAGUACUCUCGUACUGUUCACGCUGACUUGGCAUUCGCUUUUUGCGUCACGCUUGUACUAUCAUUUCCUUCCAGUUGAAGGUACACUUGUAAUUCAACGAUACUCCUGUUUAUGCUUAAUAAUAAUGCAUAAUUGCGCAUGUUGUCAUUUAUAUUUCUUACAUUUCAUCCUUCGUCAUUAUAUAAUGAAUCUAUGAAGGUAUUCCCUUCAUGACCUUCGUCCGAAAACUAUUAUACCCUAAGGGAAAUAAUGUUUCGAAGGACGAAGGACUUUAACAAUUAACAUCUUCUGUGUUGCCUUGUUCUUAACCCAUAGCAUUUGAGAACAAGUCCCCAACAUUGGCGCCCACCUCCGGUGAACUCACUUCCACUCUAAGUUUUUUGAACACCUUCGGCGAUCAUAAACCUUCGUUAUGGCGCCGAAGAAGGCUUCAGCAACUGGAGCUGCAGCUCUGCAACCACUGGACCACAAUCAGGAGACAGUCUCCCUGCGGGAGGCCCGAAGCCAGAAAAGGAAGGCUGUCAGCCCGACACCACCAGAGGACGAGAUAGAUCAAGAAAUUAGAAAUAUGGAGAUGCUUCAUCAACAAGUACAGAGGAAGAAAGAAAAGAUGGCCAGACUAGCUGAGCUGCAGAGGCAGAUAGACGAAGCCUCUGAAGAAGUUCGUCACCUUGCCCAGGAUGAGCAGCACCGAAGGCCUCAACACCAAGAUCUCCAUCAGGAGGGUUUCCCCAACGAGGAUGACUGGUAUGACAAUUUCCAUCAUGGGAAUUUUGUUUUUGAUGAUGCUUCUCCUCUGUCCGCUGAGCUGCAGGCUACACCUUGGCCUCCGUCCUACAAGCCGCCCCAGCUUCCCGUAUUCGAUGACCACUUAGACCCGAAGCAGUUUUUGAUGAGCUACGAAGCAACAGUAUCUUCGUAUGGUGGCAAUGCUUCAGUCAUGGCCAAAUCUUUCGUUAUGGCUGUCAGGAGUGUGGCUCAAACCUGGUAUUCCUCCCUUCGACCAGGAACGAUCACUUCAUGGCAGAAGCUGAAGGAUUUGUUGUUAACUAGCUUUCAAGGAUUUCAGACGAAGUCGGUCACUGCUCAGGCUCUGUUCCAGUGCACCCAAGAUCACGAAGAAUACCUUCAGGCGUAUGUCCGAAGGUUCUUGCGUUUGAGGGCACAGGCACCAAUGGUGCCCAAUGAAAUUGUCAUUGAGGCCAUGAUCAAGGGGCUUCGGCCAGGACCGUCAGCUCAGUACUUCGCUCGGAAGCCUCCUCAAACUUUGGAGAAGCUGCUCCAGAAGAUGGACGAGUACAUUCGAGCCGAUAAUGAUUUUCGCCAAAGAAGGGAGGAAGCUUUCAGGUUUUCUGAAAUGACCAGGGGCUUCGGAGGGAGGUUCUACCCGAGGCACGUGAGAUCAAUUCAUAACUCUACACAAAAUGAUGAUAGAGGCAGCCAACAACAAAGGCCACAAUGUUCCUCACAGGCUUCGGGGCAACACCAAAGCUCCUUCAGACCACCAGCUCCAAGAGGCAGAGGCGCCAGGGGCUUUGGAGGAAGAUUUGGCGAUCAACCGAGAAGAAUCUUUUGCUUAUUCUGCGGUGAGAACAAAGGCCAUACUACCAGGAUGUGCCAUGUUACUAUUCAGAAGCAAAAGGAAAUAGCUGAAGCAGCAGCACAACAAGCUCAGCCGAAGCAGGUCAUGCAUACAGCUUCGUAUCAUUCGCCCUACAUUCCAGAAUAUGUGGGCAAUCAUCCUGCAGUUUCUGUUGCUUCGGCGAGUCAGCCUCAAGCUUCUUGGCAACAGCCUCCGCCUCCACCUCCGUUGCAACAAGGCCAGCAGCCAGAAGGGAGCCAGUAUGCUCCACACCAGAGGGACUUCAGAGAGCAGUCCGAAGCUCGUACAGUCAAUAGCACUGUGCCAGAGUCAAAGCACAUCUAUUGACAAAUAUCCUACCUUAAUAGCAAUCUUUUUCAUUCAGUUUUAUUUUCUGUAAUAAAGGACAUUGUUUAGGCUUCAUGUAAUUAGUUUCGUUGAUUCCUACAAGGAAAAUAUAUUUUCUUUACAGGCUUAUAUUGAUAACAAAGAGGACCUUCGAACUAUCGAAAAUUCUUCGAAGCAAUAAAAAGUCGUUCUAAGGAACGCAGAGUAAGUUUGCCGAAGUUACAAAAAGUCGUUCCAAAGGGAGCGCAGUGUAAGUUUUCUGCUCCAAAGUCGUUCCAAAGGGAAUGCAGAGCAUACAGCGAAAAGUCAACGCUGAUACCGCCUAAGUAAAAGGCGAAGCGCGAAAAGUCAACGCGAAUACCGCUGAAAGUAAAAGGCGAAGAAGCUCCUAAGGGAGGCUUACAGCGAAAAAUAAACGCUGAUUCCGCUGAAGUAAAAGGCGAAGAAGCUCCUAAGGGAGGCUUAUAAAAGAUUGUGUUUUAUUGCAGGGAUGCGUAUGUAUCUUCGGAAUAAACAUCAUCUCACAUAACAUAACAUCAUCACAUCAUUUCGCAUAGCAUAAGCAUCAUACAUCAUUUUGCACAUGGCACAAGAGGUAGACACAUUAUCAAUCUACAGAAGAACGCUUUGAAAAAAGGGAGAAAUCAGUCACAAAAAAGAUACAUCAUUGAUCUUCGGAAGUGUAGCUUCGGAAAAUAUUUUCAAGAAGCCUGGAUAUUAUUCAUCAGAACAUUGGAUAUUGUUGUGACAAAGAUAAAUUUUUCUUCACGAAGCAUGAAAAGAAGGGAAGGUGUUUUUUCGUCAAAGACUCAAAAGCGGUACGUGUAAAGUUUCAUGCAUCGUAAAGAAUUGACUAACAAAAAUAGGUAUAUUACAUUUGAGGUUACAAAAUGUUACAGUAUAUUACAUUUCCGAAGUUUUUUACAAAAAUACUUAAUCUUCUCUCAAAACGACUUCGGCAGCCUCGUUCAGGAGCCGAUUGACGACUUCGUCCAUAAUAUCUUCAGCCAUCUUUUUAAUUUCGUCGUCUCCUUUCGGCUGAGGGCCCGAAGACGCGUUAGCAGGAUCUGAAGUAAGAUAGGAUACGGAUACAGUGCUAUUACAAAUCGCAAACAAAUCUUAAAGCCUAAGAUUACAACACAAUAAAACUAUCAGUUAAUACCUAAUUGACCUUCGGCCUCUGCGCUCCUUUCAGCAGCCUCAGCUACUUCUCUAGCAUCGUGAAUUCCCUUUUCACUUCUUCUAAUAAUUUCUCCGGCCAUUUCUCGGCCACCAUUAUCCCAAAUAUCGGUAAAAAAUUUUCCACCAAUUAUACUAGCUUCGGCCGAAGGAUCUCUUGCAUCUUCAAAAGACAAAGCAGCUUCGGAUUGUGCUAAAAUUUUUACAUGUUCGCAGCCUUUCUUCUCUAAGAUGGUGGCAAGUCCUCUGGCGCCAGAGAAGGCACAUAUAUCUCCACGGCUAUUUAAAAUUUCUUCGAAGGCUUCAGCUUCGUGGUCGAUCCACUCGAUGGGACCUUCGGGAUUGCCUCUCGUAAAGUUUUCCUCACUUGAAAAUGCGCCGACCUUGGCGAAGCUAGCCUUCAGCUUUUUAACACAUUCUAUAGAUUUGUUAUAACAUCUCUUUUUGGACGACCGAAGCUCUUCAACAGUUCCUUCUAGGUGAUCUGCCCAUUGGUCGCUGAGUUCUCGCUUUGUCUCUUCAAGUAUGCGUUCUUCCUUGGCUCUGGCCAGUUGUUUCCGAAGAUCUUCAAUUUCGCGUUUCUGAGCUUCAGCUUGACCUUUAAAAGCAGAUUCGUCUGCCUUUAUUUUAUUUAUCAAUGAGUGUAAUAUUUUAUCUUUCUCGAGACCUUCGUUCCUCAGUUCAAUAACUUCGGAACGAAGGUUGCUCAGGGCUAUAGAACACCCUUCGUCUUCAGCAUCUUUCUGUGCCCUGAGGGCAUUGCUAAGUAUCAGGCCCUGCAAAGAGAAAUAUGUGUGUGUCAAUAGAUUUAAACAAGCGAAAGAUUUUGGACUCAACAAAAAUACAAGGAUUUCAUUUGUCGCACCUUUAAGCUAUUGUAAGCCAGGCUGUCGGCCAGAUCGUUCUUCGACAGCACCGAGAGCCCGUCUUCUAAAGUUGGGAAUCCGAAGCUCUUGCUCAUCUCCCGACAGACAGAAAUCUCCUUGCUGUCGGGGAGACAAUACAAGAAGUCUUCUUCUCCACUGCCAUUGAAUAUUAACGCCCCUUUUGGAUAUUUCAGUUUUUGGGCGUAGUGCUGGGCCUCUUGCUCUUCUUUUUCUGACAGUUUUUUCCCUGAAGCAUGACGAACAAUAUAAUCACGAAUUUUGGGGAUGCUUCGGGGGCAAUGACACCGGUUUCUUCAACAAAAGUUGGCUUUGUUAUUUUUUCUGCCUCACUUUCCAAGGAUUUUAUCUUUGCAGGCUCUGGGGGCCCAGCUUCGGCUUCAGUCUCUUGCCCUGGAGCUUUAGAAUCAGAAAUUUCAGUUGUUGUUUCAGGAAUGACAGCAGCCCUCUGCGGAGGUGUGCUUGAAGGUGCGGAGGUGUGCUUGAAGAUUUAAUCGUUUCCAGUACAUCCAGCACAUUAGCCAUUCUCUUUCUUUUUGGAGUCACUGCUGGCACUUUUUGAUUUUUUGCCGUCUCAAUGUUUGCUGCAGGACUCAAAACUUCUGAUGUUUUGGAUCCCUCAGUUGCUUCUUUUACCUCUUCCAUUUUUUCUGUAGACGGCGUUUCGGCCUUCUCUUUCGUUUCUGAUAACAAGGUCUUUGAUUUUUCCAAUUCUAUCUUUAUUGGCACUUCGGUCGUUUCUGCGACUUCUGGCAGCAAGGUUGGCUCGGCUGGCUUUUUAGCUUCGGUGGCCGAAGAAGUUUCUCCGGUAAACUCAGGCACCAAAGCUGGUUCAAUAUAGCGCGGCCGAUGUGUAAGGACCUUUAUCUUCUUUCUUUUCGGUUCUGGCUCGCUAGGAGCAGUUGCAGCUUCUUCUUUUGCAGAGGUUGUGUUUUUUCUUUUCUGCCUUCGAAUGGGAUAGCAAUAGUCAGGGUAGACAAACCCGAUUGCAUCAAAUACCCGAUUCAGCCUCUUCUUUUUUCGGCCUCCGAAGGCUGCGGACAUUGCAGUGUCUUCGGCCUUCGAGUAAGCCCCAAGCAGUUCAUCACUUAAAUUUUCAAUACUUUUUAACCAGUCAUCAUCUGGCUCAACGAAUUUAUCUCCAAAUUUAAAAGUGUACUUCAACCUGAUAAGUCCACCUUCGUCGGCCUCUUUUACGGUUUCUUGUGGCAUUUCCCAUUUCUCCGCGAGCGGCCAUACCCUGAAGGCAAUAUGCUCUUGUACUAAGUCUCUCGUUCCAAUGAAAGAGCAGACUGCGCCGAAGGCCCUCUGGCAUUCUUCGGCAGCUUCAUUCAUUUCAACCUUCGGCCUCCGAAGGUCGAAGCUUUGCCAAAUAGGGCGCAUGAUUAUACCUUUGAUAUCUUCUCGUACUGUCAGAUCAUUCUUCACAUAAAACCAUUCUGUCAUCCAAUCUCCGGGCCAUCUCUUCCGAAAGGUUGGCACGGGGCAGCUUGACCCGGACCGGGAAACGAAACUGUAGCAGCCAAAAUUAUUGUGAUACUGUUCCUUACCCCAAGGUUUUGUUUCGUAUGAUAAUUCGUGUAUAUUGCAGAAGCUUUUUGCAUCAGGCUGCAGACCUUGUCUUCUCACGGCCCACACGAAGAUAUUCAGCUUUAUGAUUGCUUCGGGGGUAAGUUGGUGAAGAUAGACUUCGAAGAUUUUCAGCACCUCCACGACGAAGCUGCUCAAAGGAAAUCGCAGUCCAGCUUUCAAAAAGCUUCGGUACACUACGACUUCAUUUUCUUCAGGGUGUGGGCACGUUUUUUCCCCUCCGUCGGCCCUCACAAUGGAUAAAUCCCGGAAAUACCUUCCUCUCAUGUUGACAAGAUGAUUCUCUUUGAUAGUUGAUUUACCAUAAACUGAAUGGCUUGGUCGCCAGGGACGAUCUUCGGAGUCCUCACCACCACUGUCCACAUCAUAGCUGUCACUGUCACCAGUAUCUUCAGACAAACCUUCCAGAAUCUCCUUGGUGAUUUUUUCUGUAUUGGUCUUUGACAUCGCUAUAAGAAACCCCAAGUUUUUCUCUUCGUCCAGGCUCAGCUUCAUCUCAGCAGCAGUCUUCUUAUCCUCAGACAUCUUCGGAGACACUAAAAACUAUUUUCAAAGCCGAAGCUUCAAAACUAAAGGCUUAACAAAUCUUAGUGCACAAGAGCUAAAAAUUGAGUGAGCAGGAGCAAUUGGCCAGAGAGCGUGUCAAAUGAGUUUGCGGUAUGACUGUAUUUAUACGCCAAGAGCGUUGAAAAUUGAAAGACCCCGCUUGUCAGUGAAUGUUGCUAUUCUAGCAAAGGGAAGGUGUUUUUUCGGACCUUCGGCGUAAAGCCUUCGUCCAUGUCGCAAUCUAAAUUUUUUAUUUCAAACAAAUUAAUAUUGCGAGGGGCUACUGUUGGGGACCUUCGGCAUCCGAAGGUCCUCAAAAACAGGAUUUAACAGUAUUUCUGGAGUAUAAUGUGUGAACAGGUAUCUUCGGACUCAGGUCGGCAUCACAGCAGACCAGAAUAAUACGAAGGUCGGUACAGCGCCGAAGGUGUAAGCAGGAAAGCUUCGGCGUGACAGCAGAAAGUGGAACCGACUUAAAGAUGAAAAGGCUAUUUAGACCUCAACAGAUUACUAUAGAAUUAUUAUCAACUGUAAAGGGCAUGAAUGUAAUUUUGUAUGGGUUGUGUCCCGCGCCUAUAAAUAGGUGAACAGUACUCUCGUACUGUUCACGCUGACUUGGCAUUCGCUUUUUGCGUCACGCUUGUACUAUCAUUUCCUUCCAGUUGAAGGUACACUUGUAAUUCAACGAUACUCCUGUUUAUGCUUAAUAAUAAUGCAUAAUUGCGCAUGUUGUCAUUUAUAUUUCUUACAUUUCAUCCUUCGUCAUUAUAUAAUGAAUCUAUGAAGGUAUUCCCUUCACGACCUUCGUCCGAAAACUAUUAUACCCUAAGGGAAAUAAUGUUUCGAAGGACGAAGGACUUUAACAAUUAACAUCUUCUGUGUUGCCUUGUUCUUAACCCAUAGCAUUUGAGAACAAGUCCCCAACAGAGUCAACUUCAAGGCAGCAAAGAUAAAGGAGUUCAACACUUGCAUAAAUAUGAGAAAGAAGGUAUGCCAAUUUAUGUACAAGCAUGGGAGGGUUAUUGAUUAAAUGAGGCAGAAGAUAGGUAGAGAUCUUGUAAGGCUGAUUAUGACUCGUUUUGCUACUUUUUUCUAACAUGGCAAGUAUGCAUAAACAUAGGAAUGCCUUGAGAAUUUUUGUUGUUAGUGAUGAGUAGACUACUAACAGCCUGUAUGCAUCUGUUGAAGGAAAGCAAGUUGUGAAAUGUGAACAUUAUCCUUUCACAACAAUUUUGGGCUAACAUGAAAAAAUUGCCUAUGAGUUUCACAACCACUUCUCGUUGCCUUGAGGAUAACAGAUGGGGAUGAAACACCUAGAAACUACGGAGAUCAUGGCAGCCAUGGAUGUUGUAAAGAGCAUAAUCAAAGAAACUUUUAAAUAGGAACCAAGUCUAUAGAAGGAGGUACUAGAGUGCUAUGAAAAGAGAUGGACAAGCCAAAUGGAGCAAAAACUGUAUGGGGGGCAGCCCUCUACUUGAAUCCAGGAUAGUUUUUUUUGGCAUAAGAGAUAAAGGUAGGAGCCAAGCUUCAUGCCUAAUAUCAGUGUUCAAUGACGUUUUGUGGAAGAUGGUGCCUAAUGAUGAAGAAAAAACCAAUAUUAGCAAGCAAACAGAUGAUUACGAGAGAUCCGAAGGCGAUUGCUUCUCAAAGCCAUUAGCAAUAAGAGAUAGAAACAAAAAAACCUAGUAAGUAACUAAGUAUCUAAGUAGUUGCCUAUUUUCCUUCUUCCUUGAUCACUUUGUUUUUGGUAACGUAGCACUAAUUAGUUUGGAAUUGUACUGUAGUUCUUUUGUGGGGUUCAUAUGGUGGCCUAGCUUAUGAGCUCCAAAGUUUAGGGAACAUUUUUUAGCCUUUGAUGUGCAACAUCUGGAUGGGAGCGUAAUUGGAGUGCCUUUGCUGAUGUAAGUACUCUACUACCUACUAAGUAGUUCAGACUUUGGAGAUAACAUUCCUUGCACAAUAUUAUGGUUUUGGCUUGUUGUCCUCUUGACAACUGUUUUUUGUAGAUCCAUACCAAGAAAAGAAACUGGUUAGAGCAUAAAAGGUUAAAUAAGUUGGACUAUUGUAGCUACAACCGGAAAAUGCAAAACAGGUUUAAAAAAAUUAAAGAGCUUGGUUCCAAGAGAAAGAAAUGCAAUCCACUGUUGCUUGAAGAAUUUUGAUGGAAAAAAUGGAUGGGUUGAUGCAAAUAAUAAACUUGUACACAAAGUUUAUGGAAAUACUUUGACUUGGGCUGUUGUGGAUGAAGUUGUUGGUGCAACUCAAGACCUAUAGGGGCGUCACUUGCGUAGGUCUGCUGCAGUUUGUGCUGCUACCGUUGUCAAACAGACCUGAGCAAGAAGAAACGUCUAAGAAACGCACGGGCUUAAGAUAUCGCUGUAGCAGAUGAUGGGAAAGAUGGAACAGAAGAAAAUAUGAACCAGAACCUUCUAAUCCAGCAGCAACAAUGGAUGAGGACGAAGAAUCAUGAUGGAGAUGAAGAGGCUUCCGGUUGAUUGAUGGUCUACUUAAUUAGCCAAUAGCCACAAGAUUGCAAGAAGGCUGCUUUUGUUGCUCGUUAUGUUCCAUUCGAACCUUGUUUGGUUAUGUAUUACUGGCGAAAGGGUCUCUAACUGAGUUGGUCAGGUGGUCUCGAUCUAUGUGAGAAAGUAUUUUUUUUAAUAUAAUGCCAGAGGCUGUCAUACUCCCCGCAGGGGAAGAGUUUUUUUUUGUUAUGUAAUUAUGUAUGACUAUGCUAUGUGACGGUGUUAUGAUGUGCUUCAGCAGUACUGCGCUGCUACUAGUGCUACUGCUAACUGCUAGAUAUUUAUUUGAUAAUUGAUAUUUCCUUUUUUUACUGGUUUAUUGGUUUAUCACCAUAGUUAUACAGGCUGCCUUCUAUUAAUUGGUUGGGAUUAAUAACUUAGAACUCCUUGGAUUUGCCGUGAGGAUACGCUGGUUGUGGGCACAAAAAACAAAUCCGGAUUAGACCUUGGGCUGGUCUACAUGUAUCCUGGUUGUGGGCACAAAAAACAAAUCCGGAUAUACCUUGGGCUGCUCUACAUGUCCUUGUUCCUGCAAAGGCAAAGGCCCUCUUUGAUGAGGAAAUUCUGUUCUGGAAAGAUAGGUGGUUAGAUGGACACAUUGGCUGAAGUGGCCCCUAAUCUGGUCAAAACAGUCCCAAAGAGAAUUGCUAACAGGCGGACUGUUGUCCAGGCUCUCACUGUCCACUUGUCCAGGUGCAUGACAUCAAGGGAGCACUCACUGUCCAGGUGCUGGUUGAGUAUCUGCAGAUUUGGGAGAUGGUGGAUGGUGUCGUUCUACGCCAAAACGUGGCUGAUCAGUACAAAUGGGAAUUAACGCAACAUGGUUCCUAUAGCAGUAAAUCUGCCUAUGAAGCUUUCUUCCUUGGAUCCAUCAGGUUUGGCCAUGGAGAAAAUUUUGGAAAACCUGGGCUCCUGCUUGCUGCAAAUUCUUCAUUUGGUUAGUUUUCCAUUGUCGUGUGUGGACUGCUGAUCGUCUGGCCAAAAGGAACCUGCCUCAUCCGGAGGCUUGUUCUCAGUGACCAGGAGAUGGAAACUAUAAACCAUCUGUUGGUUGGGUGUGCCUUUGCUCGCGAGGUUUGGCAGGGGCCUCCAAACUCAACGAGCUAGUGUUUAGGUCGUCGGCGUUCUUGGCCCAAGGCAUAAGUGUUAGACUGUGUGUGUGAGAGUGUGUGGGCCGGCACCACUGUUGGGCUGCCGGUCCAUUAAGGUUAGGGUUGAGUCCCUAUAUAUGUACCCCAUCUCCUAUCAAUAUAUCCAGUUCACUCUUCUACAUGGUAUCAGACUAGGUUCGGUUAGGGUUUUCUCCUCUCAGCCGUUCUCUCCUGCAGCCGCCGGCGGCUCUCUCCCACAGCAGCCGCCUCCUGCGCUGCUGCCCCCGGGAGGCUCAGCCUUCCCUCCCGGGGGCGGCCUCCCAGCCUUCUUCUACCUCCAUCCAGCCAGCCGCACUCCCACCCCGUCCGCCUUCAAUCUCCAGGCGGCGGCGGAUGCAAGGCGCGCGUUCCCCUGCGCGGGGCGGCCACGGCGAGCGGCCCCGGCGCGGGCGCACGUUACCCUGCGUGGGGCGACCACGGCGAGCGGCCCCGGCGCGGGCGCGCGUUCCCCUGCGCGGGGCGACCACGGCGCGGGCUGGCUCGACGGCGGCCAUGGCGCACGCGGGCAGCGGCCUCACGGCCUUGGAGCCGGCCCCCGGCUUCUACACGGGCAUGGCCCCAUCCGGCGCCUCCCCGACGGCGCUUGGCCAGCCCCUCCCCGCGACGGCCGCCUUCCUCCCCACCGGCGCUGCUCCCCCGCCCUCCUCGCUGGAUCAGCCACCGGCGGCCCCUCGCCUGGGCGCGGUGCAGGCGCGUCGAGCCGUCUCGUGGAUCCGUGGAUCCGACGACGGCGCGGCCUUCCCCAACGGGCGCGGUUUUCCCCAUGGCGCGCCGGAGCAGCCCCUCUGUUCUCGCCCCUCCCCUUUCCCUCAUGCCGGCCAGGCCCUCCCCUUUCGGCCAGCCCCUCCCCUUCCCUGGCUGCACGCAUGCUGCCUCACUGGCCGUGGGCGCGGCCCUCCCCUUCCCCGGCCUCCCAAGCCGCCGCCACCGGAUCCGCGUGCCCCUGUGUUUGUGUCGCUAGAUCUGCGAGCAUGCAGGCGCGCGCCGGCGUUCUCUCCCUAGUGUCGAUCACCUCGACCAACAGCACCAAGUAGCACCACCCUUCGAACUUCUCCCGUCGCCGGUGCUGCCAACACCCCUUGCCAGGUCCGGCGCAGGCCCCUGCCCGGCUGGACCCGCCCCGCCGCCCACCCCUUCAUCGCCUUCAUUGGAUCCGUCGCUGCCGCGACCUUCCCGGCCGGAUCCACGUUGCUGCGACCUUUCCGGCUCGAUCCGCCGUCCCUUUGGCUGGAUCGCGUCUUCCCGUCCGGAUUCGUCGCUGUCGUGGCCUUCCCGGCCGGAUCCGACAUUCCCCUUCUUUUCUGUCGCGGGCGCGGACACCAUGACCGGCGCAGACGCGUGCGCUGCUGUCGGCCUCCCUGGCGGGGCUCCUUGACGCCUGGACGAUCGAAGAAGAGGAAGGUCGGCCUACCGGUGCCCUUUUGUUGUGUCGCCCUGCCGAUCGUUGACGCUCGAAUGUCGACCCUCCCGAAGAUCAGGCUUUUGCUGCGCGUCUUCCGACCGCGACCACCUCGACUUCGGCUACCUCGGCAUCUAGGGGCUAUCGUCUUCUUCGAGCACACAAUGGUCUCUACUCCAGCCGCAACAUUCACACCAUUACGACGCUGCGACCGCGGGGGGAUUUCAACCCGUCGACUCCUACCUUCGGCCUCUACUCCAGUCUCAUCGUGUGUGGUGCCCCCGUUGCGACUGCGGGGGAUGUUAGACUGUGUGUGUGUGAAAGUGUGUGGGCCGGCACCACUGUUGGGCUGCCGGCCCAUUAAGGUUAGGGUUGAGUCCCUAUAUAUGUACCCAAUCUCCUAUCAAUAUAUCCAGUUCACUCUUCUACAAUAAGGCCGUUGUGGUCAUGUCUUAUUUUCUUCCGUGGCACUUAUGUAAUGGUGUGAGUGGUGCCUUCGUUAGGCACCUAGGGCGGUCUUUUCUAGACCAUGUAUUUUUCUUCUACCUUAAUAAAAUGACGUGCAGUUCUCCUGCGCUUCGAGAAAAAAAUUGGUUGGAAUCAUUACCUCAGCCUUCUAUUAAUAUAAUACCGUGAGUGUGGUCUUAUCCUCUUGGUCGAGUUAUACAGACAACCAACAUAUUACAUAAUGCACUAGUAUAGUACCUAACAAAUACAUUUUUGUGUUAUUUUAGCAACAAGUCGAUAAGAACAAGGAGUUUUGAAAUUGGAUAAGAUUUCGAAAUUAUGUACAACAAAUAUCACAAGUAGGUUACUAACUUAAUGGCCAUUAGCAUUCUGUUGAACUCUUCAGUUUUGAUGCUUGCUAAAUCAUAACUGUAUUUUUUAUAUAAUUUGUCCUGAUUCCUGAAACCUAUAGACGAUUAGCUCGAUCAGGCUUGAUUAAUCGAUUUGAUCGAUGACUAAUCCUGAUUAGUCGCCAGGUUGGCCACUAGGCUACUAGCUAGGUCUGAACAGACGACAUGAAAAACAUUGAUUGUGGCUCUAUACCACCCAUGUUUAAGUUCUAGUUAGGGUUGGAAAAAAGUUCGAGUUCGAUGAGCCGGCUCGGCUCGACGCUUAGAAUGAGCUCGAGCCGAGCCUGUUUUUAUGGCUCGUGAAAAGAGCGAGCCAUUCGGCUCGGCUCGCUGUGGCUCGCGAGCUGACUCGUGGCUCGAUCCAACAACAAUCUGUUACAUAAAAUCCUAAUUAGCAUAUGUUGCUAGUACCAAAUAGAGGAUUAGUUUGAGAUUACAAUACGAAACUAAUAUAUUUUCUAUAUUAUAUUAGCAAUAUAUUUAUUUUACUAAUUUAAAGUAUGUUAGCUAAAUUAUUUUUGAGAUUUUAUAUUAUAAUUUAGAGGGCAAUUUCAUAUUUAUGGUUAGGCUCGUUGGCUUGGCAAGCCGGCUCGUGAGUCUAGAGGGAACCAAGCCGAGCCAACAUUUUAGGCUCGUUAGAAGAGCGAGCCUAGCCGAGCUUGGCCUAUUGCUUCACCGAGCCGAUCUCGGCUUGUUUCCACCCUUAUCCUAGUUGAGGUGUACUCAACCGCUUAUUAUUGUUCUUUGAGCCAUCCCAGCCCCUACAUGAGGAUCCACUCUCCAUAGGUUAAUCCAUCUCGUGUGCAUACAAUCAGAGGAACUAGUGAGUGACCCUUUUUAGCUUGUUUGCUGCGGCUUUAAUCUGGCUGCGACUGCGGCUUCUACAGUAUUUUGUCUCUAUUGAUUGCAGAUGAAACAGUCCGAACAGCUGCAGCAGUUGGCUUCCACUGAAAUUCGAACUCAGGACUUAGAGCGCUACUCAAAACACAUAACCAACUCGGUUAGAGACCCUUUCGCCACUCAUUUAAUUUAUAAAUAAACAAGACAAGUUUUCCUUUCUAACGAUGUGCAUCUCAUCAAUCUUUCUUGCACAAUGUAGGAAUAUACAGUGAUUACGGAAAGAGCUUUUUCCGAUGAUGUCACUUCCAGUUCAUUCAUAUUCUGAAUGGAUCCAGCUCGUGGAACUUGUGACAGCUGCAACAGCCUGAUACAUUCUUCCUGGCUGUUUCAAAUGCUGCAUCAUCUUCCGUCUUACCUUUUUCCUUUCCUUUCAUUACUUUUUAUAUUCUAUGAUGGUCUAGCAACAGUCAUAUCAACAUUCUUUUCAUUCCUAUCAUGAGAGGUAAUUGCAUUUUUGUAAUGCAACAAACUUGCUGGCA
RNAcentral lists this long non-coding RNA (18510 nucleotides) under Zea mays. RNAcentral describes it as "long non-coding RNA (ZMAY_LNC000146)". The record is from RNAcentral. Lineage: Eukaryota; Viridiplantae; Streptophyta; Magnoliopsida; Poales; Poaceae.